GAUGAACGCUGGCGGCGUGCCUAAUACAUGCAAGUCGAGCGAACGGAUGAGAAGCUUGCUUCUCUGAUGUUAGCGGCGGACGGGUGAGUAACACGUGGAUAACCUACCUAUAAGACUGGGAUAACUUCGGGAAACCGUAGCUAAUACCGGAUAAUAUUUAGAACCGCAUGGUUCAAAAGUGAAAGAUGGUUUUGCUGUCACUUAUAGAUGGACCCGCGCUGCAUUAGCUAGUUGGUAAGGUAACGGCUUACCAAGGCAACGAUACAUAGCCGACCUGAGAGGGUGAUCGGCCACACUGGAACUGAGACACGGUCCAGACUCCUACGGGAGGCAGCAGUAGGGAAUCUUCCGCAAUGGGCGAAAGCCUGACGGAGCAACGCCGCGUGAGUGAUGAAGGUCUUCGGAUCGUAAAACUCUGUUAUUAGGGAAGAACAAAUGUGUAAGUAACUGUGCACAUCUUGACGGUACCUAAUCAGAAAGCCACGGCUAACUACGUG
This 497-nucleotide ribosomal RNA is filed under the name uncultured bacterium. RNAcentral's name for it is "partial 16S ribosomal RNA". It matches the Rfam family "Bacterial small subunit ribosomal RNA", at positions 28 to 507 of the family's 1533-position model. The record is from RNAcentral.